GAUGAACGCUGGCGGCGUGCCUAAUACAUGCAAGUCGAGCGAACAGACGAGGAGCUUGCUCCUCUGACGUUAGCGGCGGACGGGUGAGUAACACGUGGAUAACCUACCUAUAAGACUGGGAUAACUUCGGGAAACCGGAGCUAAUACCGGAUAAUAUAUUGAACCGCAUGGUUCAAUAGUGAAAGACGGUUUUGCUGUACCUUAUAGAUGGAUCCGCGCCGCAUUAGCUAGUUGGUAAGGUAACGGCUUACCAAGGCAACGAUGCGUAGCCGACCUGAGAGGGUGAUCGGCCACACUGGAACUGAGACACGGUCCAGACUCCUACGGGAGGCAGCAGUAGGGAAUCUUCCGCAAUGGGCGAAAGCCUGACGGAGCAACGCCGCGUGAGUGAUGAAGGUCUUCGGAUCGUAAAACUCUGUUAUUAGGGAAGAACAAAUGUGUAAGUAACUAUGCACGUCUUGACGGUACCUAAUCAGAAAGCCACGGCUAACUACGUG
This 497-nucleotide ribosomal RNA is filed under the name uncultured bacterium. Its description in RNAcentral is "partial 16S ribosomal RNA". It matches the Rfam family "Bacterial small subunit ribosomal RNA", at positions 28 to 507 of the family's 1533-position model. The record is from RNAcentral.